Rhineura floridana is the source of this 365-nucleotide long non-coding RNA. RefSeq lists it as uncharacterized. The transcript has 2 exons. NCBI's taxonomy places the organism in Eukaryota, Metazoa, Chordata, Lepidosauria, Squamata, Rhineuridae. The record is from RefSeq and is a predicted model, not a curated record.
CCUCUGCUUUUAAGGCAGUAUGAUGGACAGAAAUUCAGCAGGUUAAGUUUUCCCCAUCACUCGCUGGGCUGUGAACUUUAUAGGGUCAAGAGCUUGUUGAAAUUGCUGCUCAUCAUGCAGUUGUUUAAGGGAGCAGAAAUCCUCUGAGAAAGAAAGUGGCUAUGUAUUCUUUGGGGUCAAAGAGUUCAAGUGAGAUAUCUUUUAAGCGUUCACACAAUGGGGAAAACCGAAUGCAACCGAGGAGGAGCGAGUUCCUGAUUGUGCAGAAAAGGAAGUGAAUGCAGCUAGUCAUAGAGGCAUGAGAAAAGGUGAACUUGCAGAAAUUCCUUCUUUUGCAACUAUUAAAGGCACACGAGCUUUGUUAA